UACGUAGGUGGCAAGCGUUAUCCGGAAUUAUUGGGCGUAAAGCGCGCGUAGGCGGUUUUUUAAGUCUGAUGUGAAAGCCCACGGCUCAACCGUGGAGGGUCAUUGGAAACUGGAAAACUUGAGUGCAGAAGAGGAAAGUGGAAUUCCAUGUGUAGCGGUGAAAUGCGCAGAGAUAUGGAGGAACACCAGUGGCGAAGGCGACUUUCUGGUCUGUAACUGACGCUGAUGUGCGAAGGCGUGGGGAUCAAACAGG
This 253-nucleotide ribosomal RNA is filed under the name uncultured bacterium. RNAcentral's name for it is "partial 16S ribosomal RNA". It matches the Rfam family "Bacterial small subunit ribosomal RNA", at positions 524 to 776 of the family's 1533-position model. The record is from RNAcentral.